This 502-nucleotide ribosomal RNA is filed under the name uncultured bacterium. RNAcentral's name for it is "bacterial SSU rRNA". It matches the Rfam family "Bacterial small subunit ribosomal RNA", at positions 30 to 504 of the family's 1533-position model. The record is from RNAcentral.
UGAACGCUGGCGGCGUGCUUAACACAUGCAAGUCGCACGAGAACGCUUCAGCUUGCUGAAGUAAGUAAAGUGGCGCACGGGUGAGUAACGCGUGGGUAAUCUACCCUCAAAUUGGGGAUAACCCGCCGAAAGGCGGGCUAAUACCGAAUGACAUCUUGAAAACUUAUGUUUUCAGGAUCAAAGGUGGCCUCUACAUGUAAGCUAUUGUUUGGGGAUGAGCCCGCGUACCAUUAGCUUGUUGGUAGGGUAAUGGCCUACCAAGGCUACGAUGGUUAGCUGGUCUGAGAGGAUGAUCAGCCACACUGGAACUGACACACGGUCCAGACUCCUACGGGAGGCAGCAGUGAGGAAUUUUGCGCAAUGGGGGAAACCCUGACGCAGCAACGCCGCGUGAGUGAUGAAGGCUUUCGGGUCGUAAAGCUCUGUCAAGUGGGAAGAACUCAUAUGGUGUUAAUAUCGCCAUAUGCUGACGGUACCACUGAAGGAAGCACCGGCUAACUCC